UAAAAGGCUACCUUAAGGCACGCUUUCUGCCUAGGCGUAGGCUUAAAUGCAGCGAUUGCUCUGGUAAAAUCAUGCAGGCGCAAAAAGUGCACAGUAGGAGGGAAAAGCUUAAGCCUCAGUAAGUCUGCUGUAGUUCGGUUGAUGCAGAACUCAGGCUCCUUGCAAUUAUGCAAGUCUGCUGUAGUUCAGUAGAGCUUAGUUGAUAAGAUCUUCACGUUUUGGAUUGCUCCAGUGUUCAUGGGAUUUACAUGGAAAUGUUCCCUA
Rosa chinensis is the source of this 264-nucleotide long non-coding RNA. RefSeq lists it as uncharacterized. The record is from RefSeq and is a predicted model, not a curated record. Lineage: Eukaryota; Viridiplantae; Streptophyta; Magnoliopsida; Rosales; Rosaceae. The transcript is spliced from 3 exons.